GAGACGCGCGCGCACGGAGGAAGCGGCCAGCGCCCGAGCCAAUUUGCCAGCAGCUGUUGCUUUUUGAUUUUCCUCCUCUGGCGAGGAUAGGAAGCUGGCCAGACUUACACCGCGACAGGCUUGUAUCUUUUGGAAAUAGUAAACUCAGGGGAGGAAAGCAGAAAAAUAGGAGGAAACCACGGUGGAGUUUGGGGUGCUAGUGCCACAAAGCAACAGUAGCCCUGCUCUGGGAGAGUCACUUCUCCCUUCUAGGGGGUAAAGAAACACAUCUGCUUCCUGCGAUAGAUGUACCCCGGGGUUAAAAGAGGUCUCCAGUUGCUCCACUCAUUCAACACAGCCCUGUGAGGGACGACUCUUCUGUGACCCUGGGUCAAGCUUCGCAGAUCCAGAUGCAGAACUCUUAGCUACUUCUCCAGCACCAUGUCUGCCUCCACGUCACUAUACUUCCUGCAUGACGAUAAUGGACUAAACCUCUGAACUGUAAGCCAGCCCCAAUGAAAUGCUUUCCUUUAUAAGAGUUGCCGUGGUCACGAUGUCUCUUCACAGAAACAGAACAGUGACUAACACAGAGUUGGAGCCUAGCUGGAGGAAAUGAAUCUGGCUUUGGAUGGCUGUUGCCUGAGGCAGAGUUUGAGGAGCAGACAACACAGAGUUCUGACAGAGUGCUCUUUGCCUCCAGUCUACUGCCAAGAUGUAACUAGCCGCUCGGCCGUCUUGGUCCACUGUGCCUUCCCCAUCAGCAAUGACAGAAACUCCCCCAAAUCAUGAACCAGAACAAAGUCUUCCUCUCUCAUGCUGCCUUGGUGGGGUGUUUUACCACCAUGAGAAGAGAAACAACCAACAUAAUCAUGUACCACAGAGGAGAAGAUAGCCUGAGGUAAUCUCCCGGAAGCUUCUUCACAGAGUUUGUGGACCACAGAGAAGAGUUCACCAGAGGUCCAGAGGAGGAAGGGACAGAGUUGGUGACAUUUUAGUUGAGUUAAUUUUGUCAAGAGGGAAUGCUCAGUAGUUAUAAGCCACGGACAUUUCUGUAAGAUGAGAACUUGCAAGUUUCUACGGGAUAUGAUGACACAGGCUUUCAGCCCUGUGAUGGGGCCAUAGGCAGAUGACUGAUGGAUGAGGAUGAGGCUUGAGGACAUGUGACCCUCACAGUUCUGAACUUGCCAACUCCAUUAGCUGAAGAGUUAGAGGCCACUGGACAUGAUUCGAAGUUCUAGAGGAGAAUUCUUCCAUGGGCAGGCAACUAGCUCAUCAACAACAAAGGGAGAAAAUGAACUCAAAUCGGGGUUUUGUGGUUUUAGAGAAACGGCCAGCUGGAUACCCACCUGCCCUAGGUAAUAGUGUCCCCUCCUGAAAGAUCAGUCCCCUGGGUACUAAAGAACUAGGGGAAAUUUUACUCAGAGAAACGAUAAGUUUACUAGAAUUGAAGAUUUGCUCACACGCCCUCUCAAGUGAUGCAGUGACGGAGGAACUGCGUAAUCUCUUUGUGUCUCUUGCUUAUGUCUACCACUCCAUUUAAUUCUACAGCACACAGGAGGCACACACACACUCAACAUACGAGGAAACAGAGGGAUUGGCUUGCCCAGGAUCACACAGCUAAGUGAGUGGCAGAGCUGGAAUUUGCACCUUCACGUCCUCUGGGUCCAACACCACUCUACUACAACAGGGUAAUUAGAAGGAGCUCCUCAAAGCACAGACGUGACCACCUCUUCUAAGACUUGGGUAGAGAAGCCAUUGGUGGCAGCCACAUUCCUUGUCUUGCUAGAAGGAGCCGCGCUGGGGAGGCCCAAAGAUCAGGUUUGGCCCUCUCCUUUUUCGGGGGUCUUCUUUAGCAGUUUUCUUUCUGGGUGGCCCAGGACUGGACAUCUAGUAUAUGACCCUCCCAGUUGUCUGGACAGAUGUGCUGUAAGAUCGUGAUGUUGUUUACUUCGGUGCUGAGCCGCAGCUUUCUCAAAUGACAGGAAGUGAGGACCAGUGCAAAGCAGGUAGGGAAUGAAUGGCAUGUGCCUUUUAAAGCCAUUGACCCAGAUCAAGGAGCCAUGGAGGUGUCCUGAGUGACAGCCUUGUUGUGGAGUCCUGGGAACCAUCCGUUUGUAGGUGAGGGAGGGGCCUCCUCCAAGGUGCUGAAAACUGCCAAGUCUAAGCUUCUGGUCAUGUGACACUCCAAGGGUUGUUCCCAGCUGUCUCUGGGGAGUUGUUCCCCUCCUCCUAUCCUGGAAAGAUACACAGAACCAGUUGGCAGACUCUACUGAGGUGGCAAGUAGGAGGAGCUUCCCUGGCUCUGGGAAUCUGCCGUGUGCAGAGUGCAGGGAAACAGCUUUAACAACCACAGUCCAGACUCCAAGUCCAGCUCUGGAGCUUGAGUGCCCUGUGGUUUGGGAGGCACACUUGGCUCAGCCAAGCCUUUGUCUCCUUGUUUACGGAGAAGGAGAUAGCUUCCGUGUGUGCUCUGUGGAAUGGCAGGCGCGCAGGAAUAAUGGAGGCAGGUGAUCAGCGUGGCAUCUGCUGAAUUAUUGUCCCUCUCCUCCUCAUUGUCAUUGCCAGGAGCUCUCUCCACGUGCAUCUCCUCGUGUUCUCCCAAUUGCAUCAGAACAAGGGUGAGCAAUUAUGAGAAACAAUGGCCCCCGGGAAUCUAAUCAAACCCCAGAGGCAACCAGAUCUGCAGCCAAGCCGGAAGCUGGAAGUGGCUCUUCUCCACAGAGCUGUCACCUGCCCUGCUCCCAACAGCUCGCAAGGUUCUCAUUUGCAUCCCAGAGAAAUUCCCAUGGAAACUCAGCAGCUAACAGAGAUGCCAAAGGGUUUGAUUGCUAUGUGGAGAUGUUUGGGAUCUGAGAACCUGGGACAAUAUUCCAUGUUUGCCCCUUCCUGCCACUGCACACCUCCCCGGAGAUUCUGGACUAGUUUGGGAAGUUACCACCCCCUUUCUGUAAGAUUUUUAGCCUUUAUAGAUGUCCCAGGUUAAAGAAAUGUAUUUUCCAUAUCCUUUACAGAAUCUGAUUUUUUUUUAAACAUUCUGUUACCUUACCCUCUCCUACCUGCCAAUCAGCUUAUAAUUUGAAAAGUCUGACUGACCUACCUCGGAAAGAGCUGGUUAAGUGAAGAAAGGUGAACAGAAGUGGCCAAAGCCCUGCUACUCUGCCCCAGGUUUGGCUUCCAGAGUCAUAGCCAGCUUCUUCUGGUGGACAGAGGUACCUGGCUGUUGUCUCUAAUUCCUGGCCCCACAGCCUCUCAGGGACACCAUGUGCUAUCCCAUCUGAGCCAGCCAUUUAAGAAAUGGGUGUGUCGUCCACAUGUUUUCCUUCUGGCCACCAGCAGACAAUAUGGCUGUGACAGUCACACGAUGGAAAGUCACAGGUCCUGGAAACCCCAUGUGGAAGAAAGCCUCCAGCUACUGGAACACCCUCAAGGGACUGUUAAUGGAUGAGCCCUAGACUUUGAUUCAGUUAAGCCGUGGAAUAUAGAGGCACUAUUAGAAUCCUGAUACUGAGACGAGGAAUACAGUGGUCACCACCCCCACCACCUUCCUUAUGCCUUCGUGGGCAGACAAAGCAAGGAAAGAGCCAGAGGAGGGAUCGCCUGGGCACAAAUAAGAGAUACAAAGUAAAUAAGAAGUAUCACAGUCUGGGCACAUAUAGACUGGGAAAAAGCUGUCUGUGGCCACAGACAUGCGCAUGCGUGGCAGUGGUGCAAGACAAUCACUAGUGGAGUCGUAGUUGUUAAGGUUAAUGCAGUAAAUGCUAAAAAAAAAAAGUGAGGGAGCAGCACGGAAGGGUAAAUAUGACAGACGAGGCCAAAGGUCACCCACCCAGACCUGUUGUAAAGAAGUGGGUAUUGACUGGGGCUUAUGAACAUGCUUCUUACUGAG
Molecule: long non-coding RNA, 3865 nt
Organism: Alexandromys fortis (reed vole)
Lineage: Eukaryota; Metazoa; Chordata; Mammalia; Rodentia; Cricetidae
Exons: 3
Source: RefSeq, a predicted model, not a curated record